AUUAUAUGCACGCAGCAGAAGAGGAAAGAAGUACCGCUGACAGGAAGACCUAGGGUCUUUUUUAGCCAGAGGUCUCUAUAGACAUGCCAUCAAUAGUAAUGGCAACCGCAGUGUAUCAUCGUGACGAUGUGCUUAAUCAGGGCUCAGGUGUUGAGGAUGUAGACUUGGGAGAGCCCCUUGUUGGUGUGCUUAAGGCAUCCUGGUUUCAGUCAGGUCAGGUCCCCUCACCUAAUACUGGCCUGAGGCCCAAGACCAAGAUACAAGGACUGAGGCUGAAUGGUGGAUAAAGAUUGCGAAUUUGCACAGCUAUAAAGCUUACUAAUUAAAGACUACAAACACAAAGAGAGCAAGCCUUGUGAUGACUGCACAAUAACGAGGAUUCAGAUACAACGUGGUCGCCACCUGACGCCCACCUCCACAAAAAGCCAUUCUCAAAAGGAGAGAGACAUUCAUAUCCAGAAGAGGGAGUCGGCUGUAGGGUAGAGCAUGCAGUUUAGGCUGCUAACAACAGCAUGAGGGCAACCUGCUGUGGUGACCUAAGCUAUGACACCCCACCCCAAGUCCGGGAUGCAGCUAACUGAGCAAACUGCAUGAACUGGGAGGCGGCCGACCAUUGUUCACGCCUCUCCUUCGCGUAUGUGUUUUCUACUGUUCUUGCACUGUAAAGGCAGAGGUUGCAUCGGGCCCUUAUGCAAAGCCCCAAAUAAUUACUGGCUGACUCUUCUCAGGGAACAUUUGCUAACCCUGUCACAAGCCAUAAGGUUCCACCACAGAUUGCCCUGUGGCUCUCUCGUUACGUUUCUGUGUGGACGUUUCCACAUGGUCUGAGGCAUUCAUCCAAGAAGAGCAGGAUGUAUUAGUGACUGCACAGAUUCUGCCUUGGCCCACAAAGAGGACAUCCAGGGCAGUCCUGGUCAUCUGUAAUAACAUUGCCCAGUGAGUUGAGGCUGACCUGAGUACUGACUUGGGUUGAGUUGGUGUCACUGAUCACUUCAGCCAAAGAUGGGACAUUUCUUAGCACCUGUUCUGAUUGGCUGACUUCUAUGGUCAGGAUAACGGCUCUCAGGAUGCGUAUAACUGCCAAGUCUCUCCGGGAAGCUUCCCUGGGUUACCAAGGAAUCCUCAUGUCUGAGAGAGCUCCACCAUCAUCCAAGGGCCACACGGAGUUUCUUGCAAUGCUUCAAGGUCUCCUGUAAUAACUCCUAUGAUAGAAGUCACUGUGUUUUGGGGAGGUAGACUGCAGCAUGCAGUUUUGACAGCAUGACCAAGGUCAUUGUUCAGGUCUGAUUAUUCAAAUUCAAAAAACUGCAACCUCAGGCAUAAAAGAUUAAGGAUGGAGCCCAAGUCUCUGGGUCCCCAAGGGGGACUGAAGCACAUACUCACCCAUCUGAAUAUGCUGGAGAACAGGAAGGAGAGACUCAAGCUUGUCUGGGUCUGUUGGAUACAGACUCUCCCAUCUCCACCCCAUCAGGUCCUAUGGAGGCCCAAGUUCAGCUGAUGAAGUUAAGGGAGUGCUCAGUGCAGAAGGGUGGGAGGGCACUUGGGGCAUUUUGGGGUCCUGUUUUUGUUGCUUCUGCAUCUGAUACAGCAGGAAUU
RNAcentral lists this long non-coding RNA (1596 nucleotides) under Homo sapiens (human). RNAcentral describes it as "non-protein coding lnc-AKR1C2-3:10". The record is from RNAcentral. Lineage: Eukaryota; Metazoa; Chordata; Mammalia; Primates; Hominidae.